This 243-nucleotide ribosomal RNA is filed under the name Triticum aestivum (bread wheat). RNAcentral describes it as "partial small subunit ribosomal RNA". Lineage: Eukaryota; Viridiplantae; Streptophyta; Magnoliopsida; Poales; Poaceae. The record is from RNAcentral.
AUGGCGGCGCCCAAGCUCAAGGUGCCAGGCCUGUGCCUGCUGCUGCUGAUCAUGCCACUCCUCUUGCUCCCUGGAUGUCAAGGGGCGACUUGCAGGGAGCCGAGCAAGACCUAUACUGCUCCCAACUGCGCGACCGGCCGAUGCGUGGAGCACUGCCAAAUGGAGGGCUUCCGCGGCGGGGUGUGCGAGGGGAACUACUUCGACCCCUACAAGAUAGUCUGCUUCUGCAACAAAAACUGCUGA